RNAcentral lists this ribosomal RNA (495 nucleotides) under uncultured bacterium. Its description in RNAcentral is "partial 16S ribosomal RNA". It matches the Rfam family "Bacterial small subunit ribosomal RNA", at positions 28 to 507 of the family's 1533-position model. The record is from RNAcentral.
GACGAACGCUGGCGGCGUGCCUAAUACAUGCAAGUAGAACGCUGUAGGAGGAGCUUGCUCUUCUGGAUGAGUUGCGAACGGGUGAGUAACGCGUAGGUAACCUGCCUGGUAGCGGGGGAUAACUUUGGAAAAGAUAAGCUAUUCCCCCAAAACAUUAAUUUUUGCAUGAAAUUUCCUAAAAAGUUUCAUUGCCUUCACUACAAAAGGGCCCUGCGUUUUAUUAGCUAGUUGUGGGGGUAACGGCUAACCAAGGCGACGAUACAUAGCCGACCUGAGAGGGGGAUCGGCCACACUGGGACUGAGACACGGCCCAGACUCCUACGGGAGGCAGCAGUAGGGAAUCUUCGGCAAUGGACGGAAGUCUGACCGAGCAACGCCGCGUGAGUGAAGAAGGGUUUCGGAUCGUAAAGCUCUGUUGUAAGAGAAGAACGAGUGUGAGAGUGGAAAGUUCACACUGUGACGGUAUCUUACCAGAAAGGGACGGCUAACUACGUG